Molecule: ribosomal RNA, 424 nt
Filed under: Verrucomicrobiota bacterium
Lineage: Bacteria; Pseudomonadati; Verrucomicrobiota
Description: Verrucomicrobia bacterium partial 16S ribosomal RNA
Rfam family: Bacterial small subunit ribosomal RNA
Source: RNAcentral
UGAGGAAUAUUGGUCAAUGGGCGAGAGCCUGAACCAGCCAAGUAGCGUGCAGGAUGACGGCCCUAUGGGUUGUAAACUGCUUUUAUGCGGGGAUAAAGGAGUCCACGUGUGGAUUUUUGCAGGUACCGCAUGAAUAAGGACCGGCUAAUUCCGUGCCAGCAGCCGCGGUAAUACGGAAGGUCCGGGCGUUAUCCGGAUUUAUUGGGUUUAAAGGGAGCGUAGGCCGCGUUUUAAGCGUGUUGUGAAAUGUAGACGCCCAACGUCUGCAUCGCAGCGCGAACUGGGACGCUUGAGUACGCGCAACGUUGGCGGAAUUCGUCGUGUAGCGGUGAAAUGCUUAGAUAUGACGAGGAACUCCGAUUGCGAAGGCAGCUGACGGGAGCGGCACUGACGCUUAAGCUCGAAGGUGCGGGUAUCAAACAGG